UUCCUACGGGAGGCAGCAGUAGGGAAUCUUCCGCAAUGGGCGAAAGCCUGACGGAGCAACGCCGCGUGAGUGAUGAAGGUCUUCGGAUCGUAAAACUCUGUUAUCAGGGAAGAACAAACGUGUAAGUAACUGUGCACGUCUUGACGGUACCUGAUCAGAAAGCCACGGCUAACUACGUGCCAGCAGCCGCGGUAAUACGUAGGUGGCAAGCGUUAUCCGGAAUUAUUGGGCGUAAAGCGCGCGUAGGCGGUUUUUUAAGUUUGAUGUGAAAGCCCCCGGCUCAACCGUGGAGGGUCCUUGGAAACUGGAAAACUUGAGUGCAGAAGAGGAAAGUGGAAUUCCAUGUGUAGCGGUGAAAUGCGCAGAGAUAUGGAGGAACACCAGUGGCGAAGGCGACUUUUUGGUCUGUAACUGACGCUGAUGUGCGAAAGCGUGGGGAUCAAACCGGAUUAGAUACCCUGGUAGUCCACGCCGUAAACGAUGAGUGCUAAGUGUUAGGGGGUUUCCGCCCCUUAGUGGUGCAGGUAACGCCUUAAGCACUCCGCCUGGGGAGUACGACCGCAAGGUUGAAACUCAAAGGAAUUGACGGGGACCCGCACCAGCGGUGGAGCAUGUGGUUUAAUUUGAAGCAACGCGAAGAACCUUACCAAAUCUUGACAUCCUUUGACCACUCUAGAGAUAGAGUUUUCCCCUUCGGGGGACAAAGUGACAGGUGGUGCAUGGCUGUCGUCAGCUC
Molecule: ribosomal RNA, 736 nt
Filed under: Staphylococcus pasteuri
Lineage: Bacteria; Bacillati; Bacillota; Bacilli; Caryophanales; Staphylococcaceae
Description: bacterial SSU rRNA
Rfam family: Bacterial small subunit ribosomal RNA
Source: RNAcentral